GGCGCGGCGCCGUCCGAGUUCCCUGGAACGGGACGCCGGAGAGGGUGAGAGCCCCGUACGGGCGGCCGCCUAGCCUCUGCGAAGCUCCUUCGACGAGUCGAGUAGUUUGGGAAUGCUGCUCAAAAUGGGAGGUAAAUUUCUUCUAAAGCUAAAUACCGGCCAGAGACCGAUAGCGCACAAGUAGAGUGAUCGAAAGAUGAAAARSMMCUUUGAAAAAGAGGGUCAAAACAGUACGUGAAAUUGUUGAAAGGGAAGCGCCUGUGGCCAGACUUGCGCCCCGCGGACCACCCGGCGCCUCGCGCGCCGGGGCACGCCAGCGGGGCGCAGGCCAGCAUCGGCUCUCUCGGGGGGACAAAGGCCGCGGGAACGUAGCGCCCUCGCGGCGUAUUAUAGCCCGCGGCGCCAUGCCCCCGGGGGGGCCGAGGACCGCGCUCCGGCAAGGAUGCUGGCGUAAUGGCCACCGGCGACCCGUCUUGAAACACGGACCAAGGAGUCAAGCAUUGGGGCGAGUGUCUGGGUGGCAAGCCCGCACGCGGAAUGAAAGUGAACGCAGGUGGGAGCUUCGGCGCACCACCGACCGAUCCUGAUGUCCUCGGAUGGAUUUGAGUAGGAGCCCCGCCGCUUGGACCCGAAAGAUGGUGAACUAUGCCUGUAUAGGGUGAAGCCAGAGGAAACUCUGGUGGAGGCCCGCAGCGGUUCUGACGUGC
This 707-nucleotide ribosomal RNA is filed under the name Harringtonia lauricola. RNAcentral describes it as "Raffaelea lauricola partial large subunit ribosomal RNA". The record is from RNAcentral. Lineage: Eukaryota; Fungi; Ascomycota; Sordariomycetes; Ophiostomatales; Ophiostomataceae.